Long non-coding RNA from Lagopus leucura (white-tailed ptarmigan), 518 nucleotides. RefSeq lists it as uncharacterized. NCBI's taxonomy places the organism in Eukaryota, Metazoa, Chordata, Aves, Galliformes, Phasianidae. The record is from RefSeq and is a predicted model, not a curated record. The transcript has 3 exons.
AACAUGGUUUUUUAGGUAUUUUGCUCCUACCUAACUGCAUGGAAUACUGAGCACGAGAAAGCCAGAUACAGAUGAAGAUAUACCUUCACAGUCCUGAAUGGGACAUCAAGAUGAAUUUAAGUCAAAUCCUGAUGCAAAGGAUCUGAAUGUGUCUGUCUGGCCCGGAAGAUGUGGUCCAAGGUUUCUCAGCACAGAGAAGGUGGAGUUUCAAAUGCAGCUGUAAUGUACAAGAAGAGGGGCAGAGCUCUGAAGACCUGACAUGACCACAUCCUAUGACCACAUCUGCUGUGCGACCUCCUCAACUGCCAUCUUUUUGAAGCCUUCUCUUCAAGACAGAGACCCAAAGAAAUGCCACACACACAGCACCUGGAGCAGCCAAAGAGUUAAAUCACUUCCCAUCACCGUUUGUAUGGGAUACAGAAACAACUUUUCCUACUGCAUCCGCAGCUGCCAGCAGAACUCGGUGACAGCUUUAUAAAUCGCACCUGAAGCAAAUAAAAAUGCCACGUCCAGAAUGA